ACACCAAAUCUCCUGCACUUGCACAUAGACCCCUGGCCCUCACAUUUGGGAGUUCACACAGCUCAAAUCCCACACCUUUUUCCAAAGCUCAAAGGUCUCAAACUUCGCCAUGAACAUGUACCAGAGAGAGACUUCUUACACCUUCACCAGCUGCAGGACCUGGAAUACUUGGAGAUUCUGGAUAUGCGCCCUCAACUUUCGGAGCUUAUAGGCAAGCUCCAAGUUCUCACAGAGUACAGACUUCAGAUCACAACCUCUUGUCAAAAGAGAGAUGUGUUGUCUUGUCCUUGUGUUUGUCAGGUGUAUUGAAUUCCUGUCCUUUUCCCCAGCCAGUCACAUUGUUUCCAUGUUGGUGUUGUUUUAA
Long non-coding RNA from Etheostoma spectabile (orangethroat darter), 364 nucleotides. RefSeq lists it as uncharacterized. The transcript has 3 exons. The record is from RefSeq and is a predicted model, not a curated record. NCBI's taxonomy places the organism in Eukaryota, Metazoa, Chordata, Actinopteri, Perciformes, Percidae.